GGCGGCUCGAGUGGUGGCCACUAUUACUGGGCUUAAAGCGUUCGUAGCUGGUUUGUUAAGUCUCUGGGGAAAUCUUCCGGCUUAACCGGAAGGCGUCUCAGGGAUACUGGCAGACUAGGGACCGGGAGAGGUGAGAGGUACUCCAGGGGUAGGAGUGAAAUCCUGUAAUCCUUGGGGGACCACCUGUGGCGAAGGCGUCUCACCAGAACGGCUCCGACAGUGAGGGACGAAAGCUGGGGGAGCAAACC
Molecule: ribosomal RNA, 248 nt
Filed under: uncultured euryarchaeote
Lineage: Archaea; Methanobacteriati; Methanobacteriota
Description: partial 16S ribosomal RNA
Rfam family: Archaeal small subunit ribosomal RNA
Source: RNAcentral